CUUAUUUCUUUGGAGAUGGGACACAUCACGAGGAGAGAAAGAAAACAGGAACAAAAAACAGAAAAUUCAAACAUCUAGAAAACACGGUAACAAAGUCCAGUAAAUGACAGUCCAUGGAACUUCUCAACCGGAAACAAACUUCAAAACGGUAACGGAACCUAACCAUCUUAAGCGAAACACACCGGGAACAGGUGAGGACUAUCGAGCAACACCGAAUCAAGCUGUGAAAACAUAAAGAACAGG
Molecule: non-coding RNA, 243 nt
Organism: Pelobates cultripes (western spadefoot toad)
Lineage: Eukaryota; Metazoa; Chordata; Amphibia; Anura; Pelobatidae
Source: the annotation of a GenBank genome assembly